RNAcentral lists this non-coding RNA (284 nucleotides) under Dehalogenimonas lykanthroporepellens. Its description in RNAcentral is "T-box sequence". It matches the Rfam family "T-box leader". From Rfam's summary of the family: Uncharged tRNA acts as the effector for transcription antitermination of genes in the T-box leader family. T-boxes are found upstream of many aminoacyl-tRNA synthetase genes and some amino acid biosynthetic genes usually in Gram-positive bacteria. The record is from RNAcentral. Lineage: Bacteria; Bacillati; Chloroflexota; Dehalococcoidia; Dehalococcoidales; Dehalococcoidaceae.
UUAACAGCGUUGAUCCAGACGAGUACGUCGCUGGCGGGCUUCAGAGAGCCGGGUAAGGUGUGAGCCGGUAGUUGCGCAGAGGCCGAAUGGACUGGGGAGCUUCAGACCGAAAGCGUUAAGCGAGUAGGCUCUGACGGAAAGGGCGCCGUUAGCCGGCCCAGGGUAUCGCCAUACCUGAGAGUAUGCGCCGUAUCCGACAAAUGAGAUGGUUUUUUACCUGUCGCAAGAUUUGUAAUAAACCGAACCAGGGUGGCACCGCGAGAUUUAAAGCUCUCGCCCCUAGU